AGGAUCAGACAUAAGGAUUGUUAUCAUGCAAAAAACAGGAUUUUCUUAAGUGAACAUCGGGAAAAAAUGUAGGGAGAAGUCUAGGCAAGCAUUCAUACUCAGAAUGAAGCCCACGCCUUUUGAUCCAACCCACUUCACAAAGCAAUGAAGUAAUUGCUGUAGAAGAGGUUGCGAGAGCCACAAUGCUACACUAGUGCAAGAGCUAGGGCCCUCUUCCUUUACCCCCAAUGUUCACUAAGAAAAUGUUUUCUCACUCAGACCUUUUACUAAGCCAUCAUUUCCUUUCACUCUGAACAUCAAACAUAAAAAUCAAAAACACGACCAAUUCAAUUUUUUUAUCUCAAUUCGAAAGUUUCAUGUAAAUGAGUAAGCCUGCAUUAGAUGGCCUUUUUAUUCGGAAUCCAUUGUCUUUAGGCAUACAAAGACAGCACAAUGCUCAAGCUACAUGUGUAAAUCUUAGCUUUACAUGAUUAGCCAUCAUGUCUAGACUUUAGACAGAAUCAAUUUAGCUAGUAGCGAGAGAUAUCAACAAACAUCCUCGUCUCAUUUGAGAGUAGCCUUGCCUAAGCUACAAUUACAAAUUAGAGGCAUAUAAACUGUUUUCCUAAGCAUCGGAUGAUCAUAUUUCAACAUCACUCUAGAAUGCAUUAUACCAUCAGAAACACCGUUAAAAAAAUGCAUCCGGCUCGCGCGUAGCAGCAGCGCAUCUUGCAUCCUGGGAGGGGCGAGCGAGGGAUUUGAGGAAGGGGAGGAUGCAAACCUUGAGGCCGAUGUAGCGGUCGCUGUGCGGCCUCUUGAACUGCUUCACCCGCUUCUUCACGAUCUUCUUCGUCAGCAACGGCACCGCCAUCUGCACGCGAAAAACAGCCGCGUUAGGGAUACGGGGGGGGGAGGAGAACGUCACCGGAAAACCACGCGGCGGCGAGCCGGAGCGCACGUUACCUUCGCGAACCCCUGCGGCGGGCGGCGGCUGGGUGGGGAAUGAAGGGGUUCUUAUGGCGGCGCGAGAACCCUAGGCGGUGGGCUCGGUGAGAUGGGCCGCCGCGAGUGGGCCGGGAAAAUCACGGCCCACGCGAACGUCUCGAUUGGGCCGAGAACCUGCGAGACUGUAGGAGUACAUGGGCCGUCGCGGUCGGUUCUGUGCAGCGAGCCCAAGGCCGUCGCCUGCGUUGCGGCUUGUGUCGCCUUCGCUAUCGUAGAGAGAGCAUCACACGCUCAAUGAAUCUAAGAGCAAGUACUGUACUAGCCAGUAUAGGUUUACACACAUGUGAAUAAGAGAGAAGAGGUGAGAAGAAAAACGAGUUAUAAAUUUAUAUCUAGCUACAACCUGAGCUUCAAGAUAUUACGUGAGUGUAAUACGUAGACCAAAGUAUUAAUGGUGCGAUAUAUAAUUUAUAUAAAACUAUUGAGCGUGAUCGGCAGUGCUGGCUGCUGCAGCAGCUACGGCUGCGAGAGCUAAAAAUCAGCUGCAGCAGCAGCAGCCAAAAAGGGCCAUAGCCGUGAUGGCUGCAGCAGCCAGCAGUUCCGAUCAGCCCUAUGAAUAAGAUAUUUAGAGAGAUCAUAUAUGAUAUAUUAAUUUUUAAAGCUAGCAAUUGGCUAUACUUAAUUCCUACUUCAACGAUCAUUGAGCAAUGGCCACCGCGCCAAUACCGCUGCCACGGCGAAAUAAGCCGCCACAACCGUGUAACAAUACACCGGAACCUUGGACAACGUGGCCGCGAAACUGUCGACGAAGCGCAAAUGCUCGUGGGUGCCUCAUCACCACCAAACUGGCGGUGCGGACGUUCACAGCCACGCAAUAAGCCGUGCAGCAGACGUUGAUCGAGCAAACAUUUCAGAAUUAGUUUUUUACUCUGAGCAAGUGAUGCAUGUGCGUCAAACUCAUCUAUAUCCAUGCAGUACAAUAAUAUUUCUUUAUUUCGAUAUAUAUAAUCAGAAUCAAAAGAAAAGGGAAAGAACAACAAUUAAUCAGUAAUCACCAGGAAACUACUCGAAACUUAGCGAAUGCGUCGUUGUUCUUCUUCAUCCACGGCUCAACCAUUAUUUCGAGUCGAUUUGUUUGAAUCUCCGGAAGAUGAAAAAUAAAGAUAAAAAUUAAACGUUUCACGUAAAACGAGGUGAUACUAACGUAUGAUUAAUUAAGUUUUAAUUAUUACAAAACUUGAAAAAUGGAUUAAUAUGAUAUUUUAUAGCAACUUUCAUAUAGAAAGUUUUUACACAAAACGCACCGUUUAACAGUUUAAAAAACGUGCCACGAUAAUCCAAAAUUUCAUCCAACAGUUUGUUGGAUAAACGAACGCUGCCAGAAGUCGGGAGAUUAAUAGGCAGCUUCUUCAUCCGUGGCUCAACCAACCAUUUAGAAACAGAGCCGGCUGAACCAUUUAGAAAUAUAGUCGAUUUAAAAGCAACGUCAGAAGCUUAACCAUGUAGAACAUAGUUAAGAGAGAUUUUUAUGUACAUAGAGUGGGCCACUCGGCCCAGCUAUUCAGAAACAGGGUCGGAACAGAUUAGUAGGCAUCAUCUAACACGGGAAUUUGCAUCGUUAAAACAUCUCGUGUUCCAAGCUAGGCAACGCAAGAUGCCAAAAUUAAUCCACAUUCAUGAGCAAGUUUACUACUAGCGACGUCAGAAUCAUCGCAUCGACGCACACUUGAUUUCUUCGACCAAUUCAUCAAUGUGUAAGCACACACUCUGAGAAACGCCCACGGAUAGCUAGCUCCACACUUGAUUUCUUCGAGGUCUAACCUUUUUAAUUAUUCGAUAUUAGAUCAUUCCCUGUUAUUCGUAUUUUUUUAAGCGCGCACUCACUCUAGGUCAUUAAUAUUUCCUAUAUUAAUAUAAAUCAGAAAAAAAAACAAUAUAUCUUGAUUAAAUAUAGACAUUAAUCUUCCUAUUGCUUGUUCCGACAUAUAUAAAACUUAGCAGUAACAAAAGGAAUAAAAAUGGGAGAAACAAUCAAUCCCAGAAACUACUACUUAAAUUCCGAUCAAAAUUAGUCGUGAACGCCACGCCGCGCGCCACCGCCAAAGAGGCUUCACGUCGCCGUCGCGCGAUCACAACAAUAUGCACGCCGCCACCAAACACGACCCCAGAAUCAACAGGAGAGACGCCGGAACACUCGCCGCCGUGGCCGCCGCGGAGUACCCGGCCGGCGGCGGCGGCGGCGCGCCACCGCCAUCUCGCGCGCGGCGCGUCCUCCUCAUCGCCGCCGACGUAUUGGCUGAAGCAGACGCUGCAGCCACGCUACAGAUGAGGAUCGCCGACAUGCUGACGGAUGGAUGGAUCGAUCGAUGAAGAGCGUCCCAGAAAUUCACGCGCCUUGAUUGAUUGAUUUGCAACGCGAACCCUAAGCGAUCUGUGGAGGAGGAGGAGCGCCCGCCGCUCGUAAGAUUUAUACUGGGAUGGAUAUCUCCCGCGCCGACUCGGAAUCGAUCACGGUCGCGGGAACAAAGCCGAAGCCGAAACUCUAUCUGAUUGGCCCGCACGGCAAUCCGAAUAGGAAUAAGUUCACUUUUAGGUCCACUCGCUUGCAUGUUACUCCCCGUCCCAUUUUGCAGUCGCGGUUUCCGUGUCUAAUAUUUAAUCGUUCGUAUUAUUUAAAAUUUUUUUAAAAAAAUAAGUUAUACAUAAAGUACUAUUUAUGUCUUAUCAUCUAAUAACAACAAAAAUACAAGCAAAUUUUGCCUAAAAGAAUUUCAAAUAAGAUAAACGGUUAAACGUCGGACACAGAAAACUACAGCUGCACUUAAAA
Molecule: long non-coding RNA, 3751 nt
Filed under: Oryza sativa (Asian cultivated rice)
Lineage: Eukaryota; Viridiplantae; Streptophyta; Magnoliopsida; Poales; Poaceae
Description: long non-coding RNA (OSAT_LNC001695)
Rfam family: MIR812 microRNA precursor family (bases 3550-3750)
Source: RNAcentral